Molecule: ribosomal RNA, 790 nt
Filed under: uncultured archaeon
Lineage: Archaea
Description: bacterial SSU rRNA
Rfam family: Archaeal small subunit ribosomal RNA
Source: RNAcentral
ACGGCUCAGUAACACGUAGUCAACAUGCCCAGGGGACGUGGAUAACCUCGGGAAACUGAGGAUAAACCGCGAUAGGCCAAGAUUUCUGGAAUGAAUCAUGGUUUAAAUCUAUAUGGCCCCUGGAUUGGACUGCGGCCGAUCAGGCUGUUGGUGAGGUAAUGGCCCACCAAACCUGUAACCGGUACGGGCUCUGAGAGGAGGAGCCCGGAGAUGGGCACUUAGACAAGGGCCCAGGCCCUAUGGGGCGCAGCAGGCGCGAAACCUCUGCAAUAAGCGAAAGCUUGACAGGGUCACUCUGAGUGAUUUCCGCUAAGGAAGUCUUUUGGCACCUCUAAAAAUGGUGCAGAAUAAGGGGUGGGCAAGUCUGGUGUCAGCCGCCGCGGUAAUACCAGCACCCCGAGUGGUCGGGACGAUUAUUGGGCCUAAAGCAUCCGUAGCCGGUCCUGCAAGUCCUCCGUUAAAUCCACCCGCUCAACGGUUGGGCCGCGGGGGAUACUACAGGGCUAGGAGGCGGGAGAGGCAAGCGGUACUCGAUGGGUAGGGGUAAAAUCCACUGAUCCAUUGAAGACCACCAGUGGCGAAGGCGGCUUGCCAGAACGCGCUCGACGGUGAGGGAUGAAAGCUGGGGGAGCAAACCGGAUUAGAUACCCGGGUAGUCCCAGCUGUAAACGAUGCAGACUCGGUGAUGGGCUGGCUUCGUGCCAACCCGGUGCCGCAGGGAAGCCGUUAAGUCUGCCGCCUGGGGAGUACGGUCGCAAGACUGAAACUUAAAGGAAUUGGCGGGGGAGCA